This 253-nucleotide ribosomal RNA is filed under the name uncultured bacterium. Its description in RNAcentral is "partial 16S ribosomal RNA". It matches the Rfam family "Bacterial small subunit ribosomal RNA", at positions 524 to 776 of the family's 1533-position model. The record is from RNAcentral.
GACGGAGGAUGCAAGCGUUAUCCGGAAUGAUUGGGCGUAAAGCGUCCGCAGGCGGCAGUUCAAGUCUGCUGUCAAAGACCGGGGCUUAACUUCGGAAAGGCAGUGGAAACUGAACAGCUAGAGUAUGGUAGGGGCAGAGGGAAUUCCUGGUGGAGCGGUGAAAUGCGUAGAGAUCAGGAAGAACAUCGGUGGCGAAGGCGCUCUGCUGGACCAUAACUGACACUCAGGGACGAAAGCUAGGGGAGCGAAUGGG